This 480-nucleotide ribosomal RNA is filed under the name Myroides sp. 'ARUP UnID 421'. RNAcentral's name for it is "bacterial SSU rRNA". It matches the Rfam family "Bacterial small subunit ribosomal RNA", at positions 27 to 506 of the family's 1533-position model. Lineage: Bacteria; Pseudomonadati; Bacteroidota; Flavobacteriia; Flavobacteriales; Flavobacteriaceae. The record is from RNAcentral.
GGAUGAACGCUAGCGGCAGGCCUAACACAUGCAAGUCGAGGGGUAUAAGAAGCUUGCUUUUUAGAGACCGGCGGAUGGGUGAGUAACGCGUAUGCAACCUACCUUUUACAGGGGAAUAGCCCGGAGAAAUUCGGAUUAAUGCUCCAUGGUUUAUAGAGAUGGCAUCAUUUUUAUAAUAAAGAUUUAUCGGUAAAAGAUGGGCAUGCGUAUCAUUAGCUAGUUGGUGUGGUAACGGCAUACCAAGGCUACGAUGAUUAGGGGUCCUGAGAGGGAGAUCCCCCACACUGGUACUGAGACACGGACCAGACUCCUACGGGAGGCAGCAGUGAGGAAUAUUGGUCAAUGGAGGCAACUCUGAACCAGCCAUGCCGCGUGCAGGAAGACGGUCCUAUGGAUUGUAAACUGCUUUUGUACGGGAAGAAAUGUAAUUACGUGUAAUUAUUUGACGGUACCGUAAGAAUAAGGAUCGGCUAACUCCGU